GACGAACGCUGGCGGCGUGCCUAACACAUGCAAGUCGAGCGGAGCUACGCAAGUAGCUUAGCGGCGGAUGGGUGAGUAACGCGUGAGUAACCUGGCCUAUACAGGGGGAUAACAACGAGAAAUUGUUGCUAACACCGCAUAAGACCACAGCAUCGCAUGGUGCAGCGGUCAAAAAUUUAUUGGUAUAGGAUGGACUCGCGUCCCAUUAGCUAGUUGGUGAGAUAACAGCCCACCAAGGCAACGAUGGGUAGCCGACCUGAGAGGGUGAUCGGCCACACUGGGACUGACGACACGGCCCAGACUCCUACGGGAGGCUG
Molecule: ribosomal RNA, 317 nt
Filed under: uncultured Bacillota bacterium
Lineage: Bacteria; Bacillati; Bacillota
Description: bacterial SSU rRNA
Rfam family: Bacterial small subunit ribosomal RNA
Source: RNAcentral